CCUACGGGAGGCAGCAGUCGAGAAUCAUUCACAAUGGGGGAAACCCUGAUGGUGCGACGCCGCGUGGGGGAAUGAAGGUCUUCGGAUUUUAAACCCCUGUCAUGUGGGAGCAAAUUAAAAAGAUAGUACCACAAGAGGAAGAGACGGCCAACCCGGUGCCAGCAGCCGCGGUAAUACGGAGGUCUCAAGCGUUGUUCGGAAUCACGGGGCGUAAAGCGGGCGUAGGCUGUUUCGUAAGUCGUGUGUGAAAGGCGCGGGCUCAACCCGCGGACGGCACAUGAUACUGCGAGACUAGAGUGAUGGAGGGGGAACCGGAAUUCUCGGUGUAGCAGUGAAAUGCGUAGAUAUCGAGAGGAACACUCGUGGCGAAGGCGGGUUCCUGGACAUUAACUGACGCUGAGGCACGAAGGCCAGGGGAGCGAAAGGGAUUAGAUACCCCUGUAGUC
Molecule: ribosomal RNA, 446 nt
Filed under: uncultured bacterium
Lineage: Bacteria
Description: partial 16S ribosomal RNA
Rfam family: Bacterial small subunit ribosomal RNA
Source: RNAcentral